Manacus vitellinus (golden-collared manakin) is the source of this 1001-nucleotide long non-coding RNA. RefSeq lists it as uncharacterized. Lineage: Eukaryota; Metazoa; Chordata; Aves; Passeriformes; Pipridae. The record is from RefSeq and is a predicted model, not a curated record. The transcript has 4 exons.
CAGGCACAAAGAGCAGCAACUCAUCUCUGCCAAAUCCAUCUCUGAAAUCACUCCCCCACUCCAUCCCCUCCAGCAGCAGCAGGCAAACACCAUCGAUUGCUGUUGCAUCUCCUCCAAGGCUUCCACCUCACACUGGGAAGGAAGGAAGACCCUUGGAGAGAAGGGGUGUGCACAGUUGCUGAAGAAGGAGGGUAGCCGAACUCAUCUGCAAGAUGUCCAGCAGUACCCACACCCCUUCCUAGACAAUCAGGGGAAGAGAAGAAAACCGGAUAAGGCUGAAAUUGCAGCAGGAGAAGAAAACAGCCAGGACAUCCCUGUUAGUAGCAGGACUGAAUUCUUCCCUAGAACUUUAUUCCAGAUUUUUAUCAGGCACAAGUCGACAGCAAGAGCAAGCCCACGGCAGAUGGGUGGACGUCGAACACACUGGAGGAGGAUCCUCCUACAGCUCCUGGACUUGACAACCCUACUCCACUCGCUCCUGAUGGACACUCAGCUCCACUGGCUCAGUUUCUCAGGGAGAGCCCAGCUGCCUCCCAGUCAUGGCUGCACAGAGAGUUAACAAGAACUGCCAUUCUCUGCAGGGGAACGAGGACAAAAGCAGGAAAGAGGGUUGGUCAAGCCGCACACUGGCAGAGGUCUCACUGGGAGGGAGCAACAGGAUGCUGGCAGCAUGGGUGUGUCCCCUGUCCAUCAGUGCUACUGCAGCUCCUCAGGAUCCCUCUGCCUGGGUGUCCUGCAGUGCUUGCUGAUAGGCACCCCUUCCCCAAAAGAUUUGGGCACGGCCACAGUUGGCCAAGUAAGCACCUCCCUCUCCCAUGGCAGAGGUGCACGGCCAGGGAAGACAGCCCAGCUAUUGCUGGGUCCCUGCUUGCAGACCAUCACCAAAAGCCCAAGAAACAAGCCCAGAACUCUUUUUCCCAAGUGAAAAACAACCCCCAGUGGGGAAGGGAGAGCCCAGCGUGACCCACACUGCAAACACAAGAGGCUACAGGAGGACACGC